This 463-nucleotide long non-coding RNA is filed under the name Cricetulus griseus (Chinese hamster). RNAcentral's name for it is "lncRNA (ENSCGRG00015037927.1)". Lineage: Eukaryota; Metazoa; Chordata; Mammalia; Rodentia; Cricetidae. The record is from RNAcentral.
UAAAACCAAGGACUGGAAAAAGCUGAUGGUUGUCUCAAGCAGGCCGGCACUCCUUCCACCCUCAGUGCACAUGAACACCUGCAAUUGCAAAAGGGUUUCUCUGUGUAGCUUUGGAGCCUAUCCUGGCACUCGCUCUGGGAUUAAAGGUGUUCACCACCAACAGCCGAAUGUCUGGCAGAUUCCUCUGUGAAGCAGGAACCCUUGAAGGACCAUCCCAUCUUGUCUUGGCAAGUUCAGCAGUCAUUUUUCUGUGGAUCCUGCACAUCCAGUUCACACAGCAUAUAGUCAAGCAGUUCAGGCAAGAGCAGUUUCCUGCCCAAAUGGCUAGCCCUGCUACACUGGAGGCACACUCUGUAACAAGUUUUUUCGAUGCCCAUCAUCCUCUCUGACAUAAUUGGUGCUGCCAGGAGCAGAUGUGACUCAUGUCAACAGAAUUCUAAAUUACUGAAACAUUUAAAUGCCG